CCUACGGGGGGCUGCAGUGAGGAAUAUUGGUCAAUGGACGAGAGUCUGAACCAGCCAAGUCGCGUGAAGGAUGACUGCCCUAUGGGUUGUAAACUUCUUUUAUAUGGGAAUAAAAUGUUCAACGUGUGGGCUUUUGUAUGUACCAUAUGAAUAAGGAUCGGCUAACUCCGUGCCAGCAGCCGCGGUAAUACGGAGGAGCCGAGCGUUAUCCGGAUUUAUUGGGUUUAAAGGGAGCGUAGGUGGAUUGUUAAGUCAGGUGUGAAAGUUUGGGGCUCAACCGUAAAAUUGCAGUUGAUACUGGCAGUCUUGAGUGGAGUAGAGGUGGGCGGAAUUCGUGGUGUAGCGGUGAAAUGCUUAGAUAUCACGAAGAACUCCGAUUGCGAAGGCAGCUCACUGGACUACAACUGACGCUGAGGCUCGAAAGUGUGGGUAUCAAACAGGAUUAGAUACCCGAGUAGUC
This 460-nucleotide ribosomal RNA is filed under the name uncultured bacterium. RNAcentral describes it as "partial 16S ribosomal RNA". It matches the Rfam family "Bacterial small subunit ribosomal RNA", at positions 338 to 795 of the family's 1533-position model. The record is from RNAcentral.